This 497-nucleotide ribosomal RNA is filed under the name uncultured bacterium. RNAcentral describes it as "partial 16S ribosomal RNA". It matches the Rfam family "Bacterial small subunit ribosomal RNA", at positions 28 to 507 of the family's 1533-position model. The record is from RNAcentral.
GAUGAACGCUGGCGGCGUGCCUAAUACAUGCAAGUCGAGCGAACAGACGAGGAGCUUGCUCCUCUGACGUUAGCGGCGGACGGGUGAGUAACACGUGGAUAACCUACCUAUAAGACUGGGAUAACUUCGGGAAACCGGAGCUAAUACCGGAUAAUAUAUUGAACCGCAUGGUUCAAUAGUGAAAGACGGUUUUGCUGUCACUUAUAGAUGGAUCCGCGCCGCAUUAGCUAGUUGAUAAGGUAACGGCUUACCAAGGCAACGAUGCGUAGCCGACCUGAGAGGGUGAUCGGCCACACUGGAACUGAGACACGGUCCAGACUCCUACGGGAGGCAGCAGUAGGGAAUCUUCCGCAAUGGGCGAAAGCCUGACGGGGCAACGCCGCGUGAGUGAUGAAGGUCUUCGGAUCGUAAAACUCUGUUAUUAGGGAAGAACAAAUGUGUAAGUAACUAUGCACGUCUUGACGGUACCUAAUCAGAAAGCCACGGCUAACUACGUG